This 509-nucleotide ribosomal RNA is filed under the name uncultured Gammaproteobacteria bacterium. Its description in RNAcentral is "bacterial SSU rRNA". It matches the Rfam family "Bacterial small subunit ribosomal RNA", at positions 369 to 872 of the family's 1533-position model. Lineage: Bacteria; Pseudomonadati; Pseudomonadota; Gammaproteobacteria. The record is from RNAcentral.
ACAUGGGGGAAACCCUGAUCCAGCCAUGCCGCGUGUGUGAAGAAGCCUUUUGGUUGUAAAGCACUUUAAGCAGUGAAGAAGACUCUUCGGUUAAUACCCGGAGACGAUGACAUUAGCUGCAGAAUAAGCACCGGCUAACUCGUGCCAGCAGCCGCGGUAAUACAGAGGGUGCAAGCGUUAAUCGGAAUUACUGGGCGUAAAGCGAGCGUAGGUGGCUUGAUAAGUCAGAUGUGAAAUCCCCGGGCUUAACCUGGGAACUGCAUCUGAAACUGUUAGGCUAGAGUAGGUGAGAGGGAAGUAGAAUUUCAGGUGUAGCGGUGAAAUGCGUAGAGAUCUGAAGGAAUACCGAUGGCGAAGGCAGCUUCCUGGCAUCAUACUGACACUGAGGCUCGAAAGCGUGGGUAGCAAACAGGAUUAGAUACCCUGGUAGUCCACGCCGUAAACGAUGUCUACUAGUCGUUGGGUCCCUUGAGGACUUAGUGACGCAGCUAACGCAAUAAGUAGACCGC